AGCAGCAGGUGGAACUGCAGAGGAGGCGGGGCGCUGAAGUCGGAGACAGUGGGGUCUUCUAGCACCCGGAGGCUGGGCUGUGCUAGGGAAGGGGACUGGAGCAGGAUCCCUCUGUGACCCAGCUGACCAACGUCCCGCAGGGCGGCCUGGCGGAAUUCAACCCCUUCUCAGAGACAAAUGCAGCGACAACAGUUCCUGUCACCCAACUCCCUGGGUCCUCACAGCCAGCGGUUCUCCAGCCAUCAGUGGAACCAACCCAGCCGACCCCCCAGGUAGUGCUGACAAAGAACUCUGGCCUUUUCUCUCCAGUGAGGGAAUCAUCCAGACCAGUAGCUGAGCCCUGAGGCUGGGGGCAAGCAGAGAGCUUUCAGCCUUGGCCCCCUAAGGGCCCUCUUGCUAAUUUGUUCGGAGCUGGUCACCUACAAGUAGAGGGGCUGCUCUGCCUAUUAAUAUCCUUACUCCCUCCAUCCCACCCACCACCACCACUGAGAAAUAAGCUCUACUCACCAGGCCGGGCUCCUCGGUGCCUCCAGAGA
This 536-nucleotide small RNA is filed under the name Pan troglodytes (chimpanzee). Its description in RNAcentral is "retained intron". The record is from RNAcentral. Lineage: Eukaryota; Metazoa; Chordata; Mammalia; Primates; Hominidae.